RNAcentral lists this ribosomal RNA (407 nucleotides) under uncultured bacterium. Its description in RNAcentral is "partial 16S ribosomal RNA". It matches the Rfam family "Bacterial small subunit ribosomal RNA", at positions 29 to 526 of the family's 1533-position model. The record is from RNAcentral.
AGCGAACGCUGGCGGCAGGCUUAACACAUGCAAGUCGAGGGUAGCUGCCGACGGGUGAGUAACGCGUGGGAACGUACCUUUUGGUUCGGAACAACACCGGGAAACUUGUGCUAAUACCGGAUACCGAAAGAUCGGCCCGCGUCUGAUUAGCUAGUUGGUAGGGUAAUGGCCUACCAAGGCGACGAGCAGUAGCUGGUCUGAGAGGAUGAUCAGCCACAUUGGGACUGAGACACGGCCCCAACGCCUGCGUGAGGCAGCAGUGGGGAAUAUGGGACAAUGGGGGAAACCCUGAGCCAGCCAGGCCGCGUGAGUGAUGAAGGCCAUAGGGUUGUAAAGCUCUUUUGUGCGGGAAGCGGUACCGCAAGAAUAAGCACCGGCUAACUUCGUGCCAGCAGCCGCGGUAAUUC